This 69-nucleotide transfer RNA is filed under the name Ilisha africana (West African ilisha). RNAcentral's name for it is "tRNA-Asp". It matches the Rfam family "tRNA". From Rfam's summary of the family: Transfer RNA (tRNA) molecules are approximately 80 nucleotides in length. Their secondary structure includes four short double-helical elements and three loops (D, anti-codon, and T loops). Lineage: Eukaryota; Metazoa; Chordata; Actinopteri; Clupeiformes; Pristigasteridae. The record is from RNAcentral.
AAGAGACUAGUAAAACUAUUACCCCACCUUGUCAAGGUGGAAUUGCGGGUUAAACCCCCGCGUAUCUUG